GACGUAGGGGACGAGCGUUGUCCGGAUUCAUUGGGCGUAAAGCGCGCGUAGGCGGCCCGGUAAGUCCGCUGUAAAAGUCAAAGGCUCAACCUUUGAAUGUCAGUGGAUACUGCCGGGCUAGAGUCCGGAAGAGGCGAGUGGAACUCCUGGUGUAGCGGUGGAAUGCGCAGAUAUCAGGAAGAACACCGACGGCGAAGGCAGCUCGCUGGGACGGUACUGACGCUGAGGCGCGAAAGCGUGGGGAGCGAACAGG
Molecule: ribosomal RNA, 253 nt
Filed under: uncultured bacterium
Lineage: Bacteria
Description: partial 16S ribosomal RNA
Rfam family: Bacterial small subunit ribosomal RNA
Source: RNAcentral